CACACACACACACACACACACACACGCAAGAGCGUACGCAAUAAAGCGCAAGACAAGAAGGGAGGAGAGGCAGAGAGCGGAAUAAAGCGCAUACAGCAAGAGCAUCAUGGCACCCAUUGGAUUAAAGGCGGUGGUCGGAGAAAAGAUUAUGAAUGAUGUGAUCAAGAAGGUGAAGAAGAAGGGAGAAUGGAAGGCUCUGGUGGUGGACCAGCUGAGCAUGAGAAUGCUUUCCUCUUGUUGCAAGAUGACUGACAUCAUGACAGAGGGCAUCACAAUUGUGGAGGACAUAAACAAGCGAAGAGAACCUCUACCAACCUUGGAGGCCAUUUACCUCAUCACUCCUACUGAGAAGUCUGUGCGGACACUCGUUGGUGAUUUCAAGGAUCCACAUUCGUCAAAAUACAGAGCAGCUCAUGUGUUCUUCACUGAUUCUUGCCCAGAUCCGUUAUUUAAUGAACUGGUGAAGAGUCGUGCUUCAAAGUGUGUCAAGUCCUUAAACGAGAUCAACAUUGCCUUCUUGCCAUAUGAGUCGCAGGUGUUCUCUCUGGAUAACCCUGAUGCCUUUCAGAGUUUCUACAGCCCCCAUAAGACUCAGAUGAAGAACCCAGUGAUGGAAAGAUUAGCUGAGCAGCUGGCCACGCUGUGUGCCACACUCAAGGAGUACCCUGCUGUCCGAUACCGUGGUGAGUACAAAGACAAUGCCACACUGGCUCAGCUAGUGCAGGACAAACUGGAUGCCUACAAGGCAGAUGACCCAACCAUGGGAGAGGGCCCAGACAAGGCUCGCUCACAGCUCAUCAUUCUGGAUCGGGCUUUUGAUCCUGUCUCGCCUGUCCUGCAUGAGCUCACCUUCCAGGCCAUGGGCUACGAUCUGCUGCCUAUUGAGAAUGACGUGUACAAGUAUGAAACCAGCGGAAUGGGAGACUCUCGGGAGAAGGAGGUGCUGCUACACGAGGACGACGACCUCUGGGUGUCUCUGAGGCACAAGCACAUUGCUGAGGUGUCUCAGGAGGUGACAAAAUCUCUGAAGGAUUUCUCAGCCAGCAAACGGAUGAACACUGGAGAUAAGGUACAGACCACGCUGAGGGAUUUGUCACAGAUGCUGAAGAAGAUGCCGCAGUAUCAGAAAGAGCUUAGCAAGUACUCCACUCACCUUCAGCUGGCAGAAGACUGCAUGAAGCACUAUCAGGGCACUGUGGACAAGCUGUGCCGUGUCGAGCAGGAUCUGGCCAUGGGAACAGAUGCAGAAGGGGAGAAGAUUAAGGACCCAAUGAGGGCUAUCGUGCCCAUCCUGCUUGACGCCAACGUCAGCACCUACGACAAGAUCCGCAUCAUCCUGCUCUAUAUUUUCCUGAAGAACGGAAUCACAGAGGAAAACUUGAACAAGCUGAUCCAGCAUGCACAGAUCCCUCCUGAGGAUAGUGAGAUCAUCACCAACAUGGCUCACCUGGGUGUCCCCAUCAUCACAGAUUCCACUCUGCGCAGAGGGAAGAAGAUUGACCGUAAGGAGCGUGUGAGUGAGCAGACCUACCAGCUCUCUCGCUGGACCCCACUAGUCAAGGACAUCAUUGAGGAUGCUAUUGAGGACAAACUGGACACCAAGCACUACCCUUACAUCUCAACUCGCUCAUCCUCCUCGUUCAGCACCUCAGCAGUCAGUGCCCGGUAUGGACACUGGCAUAAGAAUAAGACCCCUGGAGAGUACCGCACUGGGCCACGUGUCAUUGUCUUCAUCAUUGGCGGAGUGUCUUUUAGUGAGAUGCGCUGCGCCUAUGAAGCCACACAGGCCAACGGCAAAUGGGAGGCCAUCAUUGGUUCCACCCACACGCUCACCCCAACCAAAUUUCUAAUGGAUCUACAGCAUCCCGACUUCCGAGAGUCCACUAGGGUGUCCUUUGAGGACCCCGUUCCCUCAGAGGAAUGAGUGACAGAGGGAAGGGAGGGAAAGAGAAAGAGAAAAAAGAAAGAGAGCGAAAUCACACUCUGACAAAGCUCGACCCAAAUCUUCACCCCAACCGUGCUCCUGGACGCACUCAAAGGCAUGAACAAACCAGACGAGGAGCCGACAAGCUAAAACCCUCCCUCUCUUCUCUUCUAUCUGAUCACCCAGUUCCCUCGCUCCUAUAUUUAUUGUGUAUGCAUCUUGCUUGAGAAAAAAAAUGUUUAAAAAAAAGGACGAAAAAAAAAAACCCAACAAUGGAAUCACUGACUUAAAAAAAAAUUUGAUAUAAAUAUAUAAAUAUAAAUAAAUAAAUAAAUAAAUAUAUAUAUAGUAUGUCGAAAAGCAAAAUAAUCAUUGUAAGUAUUCUCACGUUUUACAAUGGAUGCAAAUGUUUAAACUGCUGAAAUAAGGUUUAAAUAGUAAAGGCCGUUCGAAAACAGAAAGAACCAAAUAUAGAUAUUAAGAUUGAUAUUGGAUGCUCGGAAAUGUGUAAAUGGUAGAAACUUAGAUCGUCUGUGUGAUUUGGUAUGGUUUGUGGGCGGGACAGUCGUGUGUAUGUGAGCGCCAGCCGAAAAUUUCCUCAUAUCAUUUCUCUUGCUUUACGACGAGACGUCAAACCAUUGUCGUUCGUCACGCUAUAUGAUUAAAGCUCCGGUUUUAGAUUCGUAGACGUGCAUGCCAUGGAAUCUUAUUUGUGGCCAUUGUGAAAUAUGAGGGGGAAAAAAAAAAAAUUUUGACACUGACCGAGAAAACGCGUCACGUCAAGUGUAAAUAGCUCCAGAAUGCAAAUAUCAGCCUCCGCUGGCCUCAGACCUGGCUCUAUCUAAUCGCCAGGAUCUUUUUGUUGUUUUGCUCCGCAGAGAAUUUCACGUUUUAGUGUCAAAAGGCCGUUGCUUGCAAAUGAAGAAUAUUCUCAACAGAAAAAAAAGGGCCAGCUGUACUUCAGUAUUGUAUCCUGUCCGAUUAAAGUCUCAUCAUUGCCUAGUAAACGAUGUUUAUCUGGGCCAUGCACUGAGUAGUGUGAUGUUGUAUAUGCCAUAUGUUGAUGUUUUAACGUCUCCCUGUUGACUUUCUGACUGUGAAGUAGUACUUUUUUUUUCCUUUCAAUAAUGCGAAGCCAAUGUGUUUGUGAUGUUUGAGCUGUAGUUGUAGUAGUAACCGAAAAAAAAAAAGAUAUUUGGUUUGUCUGUUUGUUAGUGCAACGUAACUCUUCCACUGGUGAAUGGCUUCGCAAAGAUAUGUAAUCCUUUUCCUCUCUCUCUUUUUUUUUGUCCUUUUCUUUUUUGAUUUUCCAUUUAUUCUAUUUAAAUGCCUCUGAUCCAGCAACCCGGGAUGUAUAUUGCACUAUAUGAGUUUUCUGUAAUGCGAAUGCUUGGUCAUUUUUAGUCCUUUUUAUUUAUUUCUUUUUUUUGGUUUGCUGUUGUAAAAGCAAUGUAGAUUUAUAUUGAAAUUUAUUUAUCAGAGAAAAUAUUAAAUAAAGAAGAAGUAAGUCUGUCUUUAAACCUGUUUAUCUUCGCUGGGAUUUCAUGUUUGCAAGCGUUGAAGCACAAAAUAAAAGUUAACUUGAUGUGUACUGAUGAAAUAAGACUGUCCAAUAAAUUGGCUUCCAUUGCA
RNA transcript from Silurus meridionalis, 3556 nucleotides. It is a transcript of the gene named syntaxin binding protein 1a, with no coding region annotated. The transcript is spliced from 20 exons. Lineage: Eukaryota; Metazoa; Chordata; Actinopteri; Siluriformes; Siluridae. The record is from RefSeq and is a predicted model, not a curated record.